RNAcentral lists this ribosomal RNA (468 nucleotides) under uncultured bacterium. RNAcentral's name for it is "partial 16S ribosomal RNA". It matches the Rfam family "Bacterial small subunit ribosomal RNA", at positions 28 to 507 of the family's 1533-position model. The record is from RNAcentral.
GACGAACGCUGGCGGCGUGCUUAACACAUGCAAGUCGAACGGAAAGGCCCUGCUUUUGUGGGGUGCUCGAGUGGCGAACGGGUGAGUAACACGUGAGUAACCUGCCCUUGACUUUGGGAUAACUUCAGGAAACUGGGGCUAAUACCGGAUAGGAGCUCCUGCUGCAUGGUGGGGGUUGGAAAGUUUCGGCGGUUGGGGAUGGACUCGCGGCUUAUCAGCUUGUUGGUGGGGUAGUGGCUUACCAAGGCUUUGACGGGUAGCCGGCCUGAGAGGGUGACCGGCCACAUUUGGACUGAGAUACGGCCCAGACUCCUACGGGAGGCAGCAGUGGGGAAUAUUGCACAAUGGGCGGAAGCCUGAUGCAGCAACGCCGCGUGCGGGAUGACGGCCUUCGGGUUGUAAACCGCUUUCGCCUGUGACGAAGCGUGUGUGACGGUAAUGGAUAAAGAAGCACCGGCUAACUACGUG